CUCACUUUGUAGACCAGGCUAGCCUCGAA
This 29-nucleotide non-coding RNA is filed under the name Mus musculus (house mouse). The record is from RNAcentral. Lineage: Eukaryota; Metazoa; Chordata; Mammalia; Rodentia; Muridae.